UGGUACUAAGCCAUGUGAGUCGUUGCAGCAAUGCAAGGCAGACGGCUCAGUAACACGUAGUCAACCUAACCUAUGGACGGGGAUAACCUCGGGAAACUGAGAAUAAUACCCGAUAGAUCAUGAUACCUGGAACGGUUUAUGGUUCAAAUGAUUUAUCGCCAUAGGAUGGGACUGCGGUCUAUCAGCUUGUUGGUGAGGUAAUGGCCCACCAAGGCUAUAACAGAUACGGGCUCUGAGAGGAGGGGCCCGGAGAUGGGUACUGAGACACGGACCCAGGUCCUAUGGGGCGCAGCAGGCGAGAAACCUUUGCAAUGUGCGAAAGCACGACAAGGUUAAUCCGAGUGAUUCCUGCUAAAGGAAUCUUUUGUUAGUCAUAAAACCACUGGUGAAUAAGGGGUGGGCAAGUUCUGGUGUCAGCCGCCGCGGUAAAACCAGCACCUCGAGUGGUCAGGAGGUUUAUUGGGCCUAAAGCAUCCGUAGCCGGCUGUCUAAGUUUUCGGUUAAAUCUAUGCGCUUAACGUAUAGGCUGCCGAAAAUACUGGACAGCUAGGGAGUGGGAGAGGUACACGGUACUCGAUAGGAAGGGGUAAAAUCCUUUGAUCUAUUGACGACCACCUGUGGCGAAGGCGGUGUACCAGAACACGUUCGACGGUGAGGGAUGAAAGCUGGGGGAGCAAACCGGAUUAGAUACCCGGGUAGUNCCCUGCUGUAAACGAUGCAGACUCGGUGAUGCCUUGGCUUGUGGCCAAUGCAGUGCCGCAGGGAAGCCGUUAAGUNCUGCCGNCCUGGGAAGUACGUACGCAAGUAU
This 808-nucleotide ribosomal RNA is filed under the name uncultured crenarchaeote. Its description in RNAcentral is "bacterial SSU rRNA". It matches the Rfam family "Archaeal small subunit ribosomal RNA", at positions 39 to 850 of the family's 1478-position model. The record is from RNAcentral. Lineage: Archaea; Thermoproteati; Thermoproteota.